Small nucleolar RNA from Suricata suricatta (meerkat), 135 nucleotides. The record is from Ensembl. Lineage: Eukaryota; Metazoa; Chordata; Mammalia; Carnivora; Herpestidae.
GACCUCGCUCCCCAUGAGAAUGGGCGCGGUGGGCUUCAGUGUCCAGAAAUUCUUAACGGGGCUAACCUGAGACACAGGCCAUGCUCCCAUCUCAGUCCAUGUCUUGUGAUGGUGACACUGAGACCUGAAAUGUCU